RNAcentral lists this ribosomal RNA (506 nucleotides) under uncultured bacterium. Its description in RNAcentral is "partial 16S ribosomal RNA". It matches the Rfam family "Bacterial small subunit ribosomal RNA", at positions 29 to 523 of the family's 1533-position model. The record is from RNAcentral.
AGUGAACGCUGGCGGUAGGCCUAACACAUGCAAGUCGAACGGCAGCACAGGAGAGCUUGCUCUCUGGGUGGCGAGUGGCGGACGGGUGAGGAAUACAUCGGAAUCUACUCUGUCGUGGGGGAUAACGUAGGGAAACUUACGCUAAUACCGCAUACGACCUAAGGGUGAAAGCAGGGGAUCUUCGGACCUUUCGCGAUUGAAUGAGCCGAUGUCGGCUUAGCUAGUUGGCGGGGUAAAGGCCCACCAAGGCGACGAUCCGUAGCUGGUCUGAGAGGAUGAUCAGCCACACUGGAACUGAGACACGGUCCAGACUCCUACGGGAGGCAGCAGUGGGGUAUAUUGGACAAUGGGCGCAAGCCUGAUCCAGCCAUACCGCGUGGGUGAAGAAGGCCUUCGGGUUGUAAAGCCCUUUUGUUGGGAAAGAAAUCCAGCUGGCUAAUACCCGGUUGGGAUGACGGUACCCAAAGAAUAAGCACCGGCUAACUUCGUGCCAGCCGCCGCAGUAA